GUGGAGCAUGUGGCUUAAUUUGACUCAACGCGGGAAAUCUUACCGGGUCCGGACACACUGAGGAUUGACAGGCAAUAUUAAUACGUGUUCGCACGUAUUAUGUUAAAUAUGCUAGUCCUUUCAUGAUUAUGUGAUAGGUGGUGCAUGGCCGUUCUUAGUUCGUGGAGUGAUCUGUCUGCUUAAUUGCGUUUCACUAAGGGCCUAUAAAUUUACGUGUGUUGCGGCACUUUGACCCCUUUCUUUUUUAUUAAAGGAAGCGCGUGUCUUAGUUUGCUUUGCUCACACAAUUAGGUCCUGAAAGCAACGAACGUGACCGCAACCUCUUGUUGCCUUUAUACCAAACAUGUUUGCUAUAUUUUUAUGGCAUUCAUGAAAAAAGGCUUUUUAAACUAGAGGGACCGCUGUUACUUUCUUAAACCAGAGGAAGGUUGCGGCAAUAACAGGUCUGUGAUGCCCUUAGAUGUUCCGGGCUGCACACGUGCUACAAUGAUUAUUGCAGUGAGCAUCUCAUUUUUACACACCGCAUGCGCGAGUCCAUUUAUUCACUUCGGUGCUUUAAAUGUGUAUCUCUGCGCGCGGUAAAGCCUGCUUCGAAAGUAAGUGGGUAAUCAAUUAGAAGUAAUGAUUUCCGUAUUAGCACACAUAUAUACGGCGUCUAUGCCCGGGUUACCUUGUUGUAGCUUUUGUGCGUAUAGAUGUUUUUUCCGUAUGUGCGAUUGUCAAUUCAUGGUGGGGACAGACCAUUGUUAAUUGUUGGUCUCGGUCUUAACUAGGAAUGCCUUGUACGGGUCUUUGGUUCAACAAACCACCCGGAAUACGUCCCUGCCCUUUGUACACACCGCCCGUCGCUCUUACCGAUGGACUUCUCUGUGAGUUUGAGGGACUGGGAACGCAGAAAAUUUUACCAUUUUCUGCACACCUAUGGAAACUUAAACGAACAGUGUGGUCUAAAG
This 953-nucleotide ribosomal RNA is filed under the name Cancris auriculus. RNAcentral describes it as "bacterial SSU rRNA". It matches the Rfam family "Eukaryotic small subunit ribosomal RNA", at positions 1176 to 1778 of the family's 1831-position model. The record is from RNAcentral. Lineage: Eukaryota; Foraminifera; Rotaliida; Discorbidae.